GAUCGAACGGCGUGGCGGCGUGCUUAACACAUGCAAGUCGAACGAAGCGCUUAAAGUGGAUUUCUUCGGAUUGAAGUUUUUGUGACUGAGUGGCGGACGGGUGAGUAACGCGUGGGUAACCUGCCUCAUACAGGGGGAUAACAGUUAGAAAUGACUGCUAAUACCGCAUAAGCGCACAGUGUUGCAUGGCACAGUGUGAAAAACUCCGGUGGUAUGAGAUGGACCCGCGUCUGAUUAGCUAGUUGGUGGGGUAACGGCCUACCAAGGCGACGAUCAGUAGCCGGCCUGAGAGGGUGAACGGCCACAUUGGGACUGAGACACGGCCCAA
Molecule: ribosomal RNA, 328 nt
Filed under: uncultured bacterium
Lineage: Bacteria
Description: bacterial SSU rRNA
Rfam family: Bacterial small subunit ribosomal RNA
Source: RNAcentral